AACGCUAGCGGCAGGCCUAAUACAUGCAAGUCGAGGGGUAACAGGAAGUGCUUGCACUUCGCUGACGACCGGCGCACGGGUGAGUAUCGCGUAUACAAUCUGCCUCAUACUAGGGAAUAGCCCGAAGAAAUUUGGAUUAAUGCCCUAUAGUAUCUUUUUAAGGCAUCUUAUUAAGAUUAAAGGUUACGGUAUGAGAUGAGUAUGCGUUCUAUUAGCUAGUAGGUGUGGUAACGGCACACCUAGGCUACGAUAGAUAGGGGCCCUGAGAGGGGGAUCCCCCACACUGGUACUGAGACACGGACCAGACUCCUACGGGAGGCAGCAGUAAGGAAUAUUGGUCAAUGGACGAAAGUCUGAACCAGCCAUGCCGCGUGCAGGAUGACUGCCCUAUGGGUUGUAAACUGCUUUUAUAUAGGAAGAAAAACUUUCUCGUGAGAAAGCUUGACGGUACUAUAAGAAUAAGGAUCGGCUAA
Molecule: ribosomal RNA, 473 nt
Filed under: uncultured Bacteroidota bacterium
Lineage: Bacteria; Pseudomonadati; Bacteroidota
Description: bacterial SSU rRNA
Rfam family: Bacterial small subunit ribosomal RNA
Source: RNAcentral